Molecule: ribosomal RNA, 437 nt
Filed under: uncultured prokaryote
Description: partial 16S ribosomal RNA
Source: RNAcentral
CCCUAUGGGGUGCAGCAGGGAGAAGGGGAAGACGAUCGAUUUCCCUAUUCAGGGAACAGGGGAAGAGACGCGGGCAUUUAUUUAUAUUGAUGAUUUUACCCGAGGCCUGAUCACCGUGAUCGAUAAGGGCGAGCAUCUGGGGAUCUAUCAUAUCGGGACCAUGGAAGAGGUCACGGUGAGGCAGCUGGCGAGUGAGGUGGGCGGGUAUUUCGGGAGGGAAGUUCGGAUCGUGCCGGGAAAGCUCGCCGAGGGAGGGACCUUGCGUCGAUGCCCGGACACGUCCAAGGUGAAGAAGCUCGGUUUCUCGCCCGAGAUCUCAUUUAGUGAUGGUGUGAAACUUGCGGCAGCCUGGUAUGACAAGAAUUCUGACAAGAGACCUGCAAAAUAAAAAUCAUGGAGAUGACACAUGGAGAACGCUAAGGAAUGGGCGGGAGGGC